CCUUAAAGUUUUUACUAUUUACUUUUUACGAUUAUUGACCAAGGAGUUGACUUUUUCCUCGUCCGUUGAGUUAAGGAAAUUUAUUUGAGAUUGUCGUAGAAUACGCAAAAUCGAGUUCGUGGACACGUAGUUUGUUUAAAUUGGAUUUAUAUCGGAAAAGUUAUGACCAAAAAUAAAAAUUUCUAUUUUUGGCAUGGCUUUUUGUUUGUGAGCUUCUAUAUGUGGAAGGAGGACUUAUUAAAACAGAUGGAAGAGAGAGAAAGGGAAAGAAUCAGAAAAAAAUAAAAGGAAAGAGAGAGAGCACGGGUAGAAACCCGAGUCACCCCCCUCCCAUUUUCUUUUUUUUCUUCUUCCGUCGCUGCUCUUUCCUUCUCCGGCGAAUUCGUCGCCGUCCGGCCACCCCAAGACGCAUCGUUGGGCACGGCGUGAUCCUCUCUUCCUUCUCCUUCUAGCUAUCUUGUCUUGAGCUGUGGAGGAAGAAUUCAAGGUGAUUGGGGACGUGAACAGUAGCGUGAACAGUUCCAUCCGAGUUCUUGAGUUUGGGUUUGGAAUUCCAGCUUUUUCUGCUUGUUUUUGGAGAUUUCUGCUGGUUUUCUUUGAAGUUUUGGGUUGCUGGGUUGUUGUUGAUGAUCAUAUCUAACUAUUGCAGCUUGUGUUGGCCGGUGGAGGAAGAUUUGAGAGUAUUUGGAGACGUGAACAGUAUUAUGAACAGUGCUGCGAGUUCUUGAUAUUUUUUUGGGUAUAAAUUCGGCUAUUUCUGCUUGCUUUUGGUGGCUGCUGCAGGUAUAGAAAUGGUUGUGUGGGUUAUGAAGUUGAUUUUGGAAUAAAUAGGUUGAUUGGAAUUGAAUUUACUCUUUAAGUGUGUGUUAAACUUGAGGUUUGUUUGAUAUUGAGUUUUCUUUGGUUGUGAUGUUGAACAUGGUUGAUGGAUUUGUCAUGUUUGUAGUGUUGGGUGAAAAUUCUUGGUAAAGGGCUAUUAUUAAUUAUUUGUUAGGAAGUAGAGAGAAUUUGAGAUUGUUAGAGUGGAAUUUGUGAUUUUGCAAAGGAGAGAAAAAUUAAGAAAGAAUGUGGAAUUGUUCUAUUUUGUGGAGGAGUUUGGAGUGGAGAUUGUGUUUUGGAAAAGAAAAUCUAGAGAGGAGUUGAAAUUUAGAGAUGGAAUUGUGAGUGGAAAUAAGGAAGAUUAAGAAUGAAUUUGGAAAUUUUGGAAAGGAUUUUUAUGAUAAAUUGGUGGUAUUUUUGUGAUGAAGGAAGUGAGAUUAAAUUGAUUUAGUUAUCGAACGGUCCUUGUGAAGAUUUAAAUUAAGUGAAGUCAUUGAAUGGUUAAGGAAUCGAUUGAGUGGUUAUGAGUUAGAGGGCUUUGACAUCGUAAGGAAUUAUAGAAUUUAAUUCCGAAUAGAAGUGUGGAAUUUUAUAAUAAUUUGUGAUUAAUAGACGCUUAUUCCGAGGGGAAUGGGUUGUUUUGAGAGUAUUUCAUUGUAUGGUCAAUUAUAUCCUAUUCUAUUGUGACAGGACGUACUGAGCCCUCGAGCGAGGAGGACACAGACAGGCAGCAGGGUUAGCUGCGGGAUUUACUUGUGAGUGGACUUUUAUUUUGUUAAAAUAAUGCAUGCAGCUUGGAAAUAAGUUUACAGUUGAUUUAUUAUUUGAGGAAAUGUGACUAUGGAAAGAAAAGGAUUAAAAAGGAAACAGUUGACAAGGAGGCCAGUUUGGCGCAUGCGUAUCUUACCUAGUUGGCAGUCCCUUCUAGGUAAUAGUCUGGUUG
Rosa chinensis is the source of this 1762-nucleotide long non-coding RNA. RefSeq lists it as uncharacterized. The record is from RefSeq and is a predicted model, not a curated record. The transcript has 2 exons. Lineage: Eukaryota; Viridiplantae; Streptophyta; Magnoliopsida; Rosales; Rosaceae.